UCCCGCAUCCGCCGCUCCCGGCCCCGCCUGGCCGCAGGGCCCGGGUAGGAAGGACGGGACCGGCCCGGUGGAGACCUGGCCCCACUGCACGAGGGUCCCUGGAGAUGCCAUUCUGAGCCGAGAAGCGGCUGCUCUGGCCGAGGCCGUUUGCGUGGCAGCGCUUGCAGGUCUGCGGAAGCCAGGUUGAAGCUGCCCCAUACCCAAGUAGCCCCAUCCAAUGGGAAAUUCCAAAUCAAGGCCUCCAAAGAGAUUUGCUAAUCAGAAAACCACGGCUACACAGUUGCGAAGACACCUCCCCCAAGGCCUUCGCCUGCCCUCAGGACACCCACUAAGACUUGGAUGUCCACACUGAAACGUGUCCUUUUGGCUUUCCAGCUCGAUUCCCAAAAGCCAGUCAAACCACAGUGGAAGCCUCCGCCGUGUUCUACAUCCUGUGCACUGAGUGGAGUUUUGUGAAAUUGCCUUAGGUUGCUAAGGGCAAAACUGUGCCCAGACAAAAAUAAGCAAACCGAAUUUCUCUUGUGUUCCCUUACCCUUUUUCAUGACUGCUCUCAUUCCGCUCUCCUCCCCACUAGCCCGGGUGUCUGGGACGCUUGUGUGGUUUCUAGGCUCUCCCAAAAUAGGCCCCUAUCCAGCCCUUCCCUCCCUGAGAAUUGCCCCAGUCCAUUUGUCCUUCUCCCCCCCACCAGCUCUAUUAAAAAUGACCUCAUUUGUGUCUCAUUCUGAUCAGGCCUUGGGCUCUUCUUUACAAAGUGGCAAUCCUAGUCUGUCAACUGGCCCGUAUUUAUGGGUUUAUACCCUCUCCCCAGCCAGGUCACCCGUGAACUUAAACAUGGCCUCAUGAAAACCAGGUCCCCAUGAUCACCCUAAGGUAACCUAUAAAGCUCUAGCCCAGGAAGGCAAGAAGAUGACUGCUAGGAGACAUAUUUCAGGAGUGACAGGUCAGAGGUAGCCCUCGACUUUUUUAAAAAGUGCCAUGUUCUCUAUUGUUACACUCUAUGAUUACUGCACUGAGGGCCCAUCCUGACUCCUCUGGAAUUCCCUGCAAAUACAGAGUUCGGGUAUAACUUCAGCAGGGAUAAAAAUUCGAUGGUACAUAACUGACAAUUUUUCAAAUUAAGAAAUAGAACAUGCAAGUUUUUCUUAUGAGAAUUUUGUAACGUAAAUGGUCAUGUGCUAAUUCAGACCUCCACUUCUCUGCUGCUAUAAAGUCUCCAACAGCAAAAGCCAGGAAUGGUCAUAAAACUGACCAUGUUUUCUGAUUCAGGAAAUCCUUUGUUGAACAUUAACAUACAAAGAUGAAGAGUAAGCAAAGCUGCCUGUUUGAGUAUAAACACAUAUGCAGACAAAGAAACAAAUACAUGGGUUAGAGAACAACAAAAAAAUUAUCUCCAUGGAGGUAAAGGGAGGAUUGUUGCAUUAAUUGUAACUCAAAUCUCUUAACAUUUGAAGAAUGAUUAAGCAAACUAGGGUGUCUUUACUGGGUGUAUUUAAUGGUGUACAAUAGUAUAUGUUACUUAGAUAUUAAAUGAAAUGUGUAUACUAUGUAGAUUUAUGAGACGUUUAUAGUAAAUAAGGUUCUGUGAAAAUAAUAUGACUCAAAAUGUUAAAUAGGAUAAGUAAUAUAAAUGUGUUACAACGCCCUGGAGCACAGGCUGAUCCCUGGAGACCAGUACUGAGUCAUGUGGUCUGCUCAAGAGUCAAUUAAGGAAAUAUAAAAGUGUUUACAACCCUUGUUUUUCAUAAUUUAUCUUUUUUAUGGAACUAUAGUGUCUGCAACAUCAGUUAAACAGCCUUUCAGUAUUUCUCAUUUACGUAACAACUCCUUCCUUCCUUCUUCCUUCCUUCUUUCCUUCUCUUUCUGAAACUUUCUAAAUAGCAUGUGCUACCUAAUCUUAUUUGUAACUCGCGCCCUUGAAACAAUUUUGAGGAGAUGAAUCCUGGACAUACCAGGGUAGGAAAGGAAUUUGAGGGACUUAGAAAAACAGAGGUGAGUGGACCCCACAGUUCACCCACAGACUUGAAAAAGGAGACAGUAGCUGGUGGGUGAAGGCUGGAAACAGCCUCUGUCUGUGGGAAGGGGAGUGUUCCUGAGAACCCCAAGGAAGGUGGCUGCUCGGUGGAGGGGCUAUUAGGUAAGCGGAUAGAAACUGCACAGCCUCCUUUUGCAACUCCAGAUGUCUUCUUCCUGUGGAAAGUGUGGUGACAUCUUACAUGGGAGACGGGGAGGGUGGGGGCUCACCUCCUCAUCGUCUCCAUCGCCUCGAAUGGGAGCGCUCAGAAGUGUUCCAGAACAAGUAGACAGCUCUCGCUGAAGACAAGGAAGGCUCUGUUGGGACCUCACAAAGGAUUGGUGUCAGGUGAUAGUGUUUAAAUUUUUCAGAUUCCUGAGUGCUAGCACUGGGCAGCUUAAGCCAUCUUCAGCAUCUCACUGGCCUCUUUACUGACACUCCUGCCCAGCAACCUCCACCGUCCCUUGGAUCUCUGGCUGAGCUUAAAGUGUUGGGUUAAAAGAAAAUAAGCAAUAAGAUAUAUAGUAACACCUCCCAUGGAAGGUAAAUGGAUUGAUUCAGCUGUGACCACCUCCCAAAAGCCCUAAGUAACAUGUAAUUCAAUCAGUCCUUUUCAUUUUCAUUGCUUGCUUGUAAAACUGAGAAAUUAAAUUAAUGAUGCAGAUCAAAGUCACCACAACCCCAGUUUUGUUUCAUAGACUGUCUUGGGUUGUUGCUUCUGGCGAGUCAUGUAAGUUUUCUUGCAAUUUUUCAGAGAAAUACUAUGGAGUUUAGGAUUUCUUUUUCUUAAAAGGAGUUGUGUUUCACUUUUUUGUACCUUAACAUUAUUUGCUAUCAACUAAAAAUUGGUUUAAUUGUAGAUGUUGGCAACGAUUCUUAUAUUGCAGGGAUUUCUGUGUUUAGCUGUUUACCCACCCACUCGGCGAGUGGCAGACCCUGACUGUGCUAGACACUGGAAAAAUGGCCGAUGGAGGCAGAGGACCCACGCCGAAGUCGAGCAGUAAAGGAAAGAGACAAACAUAUAAACGGGAGACUUUUGUAUGAUGUGAAAUGUCUGAGGCUUGGUGUAGUUGCUUCAUUUUGGUAACUCUUCUCAUUCAAGAAAUGAGUAUAAAUUCCAGAGACUCCAAACCUUGAAUUCAACUGAAACCAACCCCCAAGUAAAGGAGAAGAUGCUCAGGAUGGCUGGAGUUUGAACCUAGUCAACUGGUAGGUGAGUGUGUGUGUUUGUGAUGGGGGGAAAAUCUGGGUUUUGUUUGAAUUCCCAAGACUGCCCUAGAUGAGGAAGAAACUAAUACAGACUCUUCCUAAUCUGAAGUGCCUCUAAGAAUAUUUGUGUACAAGUUGAGUAUCUGUCAUCCAAAAUGCUUGGGACCAGGAGUGUUUCUCCGAUUUUGGAAUAUUCGCAUUAUACUUACCAGUGGAGCACUUCUAAUCCGAAAAUCCUGAAUCCGAAAUGCUCCAGUGAGCAUUUCUUUUGAGCAUUGUGUCAGCAGUCAAAAAGUUUCUAAUUUUGGAGCUUUUUGGAUUUCAAAUUAGGGAUGCUUAACCUGUACUAAGAGUACCGAACUACUGUACUGAGUUGCCUUAAGGCUCCAAUUACAUUAGACCUCUUGCAAAUUUUAUUUCUACUGAGGUUAUUAUUGUUAAAAAAAAAAAAAAUUUCAACAACGUUAAAGAUUUAAUUGGCUUUUAUUACUGAUUCAUGAAUCAGGCAGCGUCCCAUCCAAGAACUGAGAAAAUAUGUUCCAAUAAGCCAGGCAAAGGACUUGGCUUUAUAGGCAGGAAAGGCUGAAGAAGCAGAAACAGGGAACAAAAGGGAGACUGGCAUUUUAGAGUUACUUCUCUUGCAGGGUUAAAGCAGGGGGGACUUCCUCAUCAAACCUGCUCAGGUAAACUGGUCCUUUUGAUUGGCUGCUGUGCAUCUCUUAUUUUUUGGAAAGCUGCCCUUUUUAAAGUUCAGCCGGACCGCCUGGCACCUGGCAGGGAUGACUCCAUUCUGGUUUGGUCUGGUCCAUUGGGCCUAGUGUAAGAGUUCAGUCCAAAACAGUGGCCUCCCAUACACUUGAUUUCAGAUGAUUCUUGAACUACUAUUCUCCUUGCUGCCCUGGGCUUUCCCAGUUACCAGUGUAACAGAGCCCGUUCGGAAUCAUCCAUGAUCCAAUCCUUCGCAUGGCACAUCUUCUGCUCUCUGAAAAUAUGGGGUGAGUGGGUGGGUGAGAGAGUGAGUUCACCGACCCGACUGAUAAAUCCCAAGCGUGGAGGGUAGAAAGGGCCCUCUGACAUCAGACGGAACCAAGUUUACAUGCAGGCUCCUUUAUGCCCAAUUUGUGUGAAUUUAAGGAAGUAUCUGAGUCUCUUCAACCCGUAGUUCCAUCCUCUGUCAAAGAUGGAUACUGAAAGGCUGUUGCAUUAUUUUGGGGGAGGGUUACACAUAUGUGGGGUGUGUGUGUGUGAAUAGCAAGUCUAGAUGACAAAGCAUCCGAGUUUGCAUGGGACUGUCCAGGUUUUAAUCCUGGCUGUCCCUCAUUCUGGGAAACUUCAGUCCCACGUGAACUGCAGUUGUUGUCACCUUGUCCCCUUCCCUAGGCCCAUAAAACCGUUCUGGGUUGUUACUAUCCAUUAAAAAGGAAGUGCUGACUUCCAGACAUCCUCACUUCCUUCCUCAAUUGUUCUGAAUGUAGAAAAGACUCCAGAUUUAGAAAACAGCGUCAGUACUUUAUGCACAGCUAUACACAUCUAAAUUACUUAUGAUUCUCCAUCUUACACUCAGUUCACAUGGGAGGCUUAAAUAUGCGAAUUCUAACUUCAACUAAAUAACAGUUUUUUUACUGAAAGACAUACUGGGUCUAAAAGAAGAACAAAAAUAGGAAAUAAGAAAAGAGGGCUUGGUUUCCCAGUCUCCCGGUAGGGCCCCAGCCCUACCUCUCUCCCGACUCCCUGCCCUUCCCCUCCUGCACACUUGUGUCCAAUGUCAUAUUCUUCUACUGAACUGAACCUUACCCUAAGAACCAACCUUCAGUAGCUCUGGUAGAGGGCAUUUUAAGGACUUUAAGGCAGAACUCUCCCUUGGGUAAAGAUUUGUGGGAAGCUGGCCUUCCUCCAGACAGUUCUUCCCCAAGCCCACAUGUGGUUCCUGAGUUUCAGGCUAUGCAGCCUCCCCUGGACCUACUGUCAGCAGAUGUUCAAAACUGGGGCAUCAAGAUUAGGCAGUGGCAGGCCUGGCACGGUGACUCACACCUGUAAUCUCGGCACUUUGGGAGACAG
This is a long non-coding RNA of Cercocebus atys (sooty mangabey), 5279 nucleotides long. RefSeq lists it as uncharacterized. Lineage: Eukaryota; Metazoa; Chordata; Mammalia; Primates; Cercopithecidae. The transcript has 3 exons. The record is from RefSeq and is a predicted model, not a curated record.